RNAcentral lists this ribosomal RNA (252 nucleotides) under uncultured bacterium. RNAcentral describes it as "partial 16S ribosomal RNA". It matches the Rfam family "Bacterial small subunit ribosomal RNA", at positions 524 to 776 of the family's 1533-position model. The record is from RNAcentral.
UACGGAGGAUGCGAGCGUUAUCCGGAUUUAUUGGGUUUAAAGGGUGCGUAGGCGGGAUGCCAAGUUAGCGGUAAAAAUGCGGUGCUCAACGCCGUCGAGCCGUUGAAACUGGCGUUCUUGAGUGGGCGAGAAGUAUGCGGAAUGCGUGGUGUAGCGGUGAAAUGCAUAGAUAUCACGCAGAACUCCGAUUGCGAAGGCAGCAUACCGGCGCCCUACUGACGCUGAGGCACGAAAGCGUGGGUAUCGAACAGG